GACGAACGCUGGCGGCGUGCUUAACACAUGCAAGUCGAACGGACAGGCCCUGCUCUUGUGGGGUGCUUGUGUGGCGAACGGGUGAGUAACACGUGAGUAACCUGCCCUUGACUUUGGGAUAACUUCUGGAAACUGGGGCUAAUACCGGAUAGGAGCUCCUGCUGCAUGGUGGUGGUUGGAAAGUUUCGGCGGUUGGGGAUGGACUCGCGGCUUAUCAGCUUGUUGGUGGGGUAGUGGCUUACCAAGGCUUUGACGGGUAGCCGGCCUGAGAGGGUGACCGGCCACAUUGGGACUGAGAUACGGCCCAGACGCGUACGGGAGGCAGCAGUGGGGAAUAUGGCACAAUGGGCGGAAGCCUGAUGCAGCAACGCCGCGUGCGGGAUGACGGCCUUCGGGUUAUAAACCGCUUUCGCCUGUGACGAAGCGAGAGUGACGGUAAUGGGUAAAGAAGCACCGGCUAACUACGUG
RNAcentral lists this ribosomal RNA (468 nucleotides) under uncultured bacterium. RNAcentral describes it as "partial 16S ribosomal RNA". It matches the Rfam family "Bacterial small subunit ribosomal RNA", at positions 28 to 507 of the family's 1533-position model. The record is from RNAcentral.